AAUGAACGCUGGCGGCAGGCCUAACACAUGCAAGUCGAACGAGGUCUUCGGACCUAGUGGCGGACGGGUGAGUAACGCGUGGGAACGUACCCUUUGGUUCGGAAUAGCCCCUGGAAACGGGGAGUAAUACCGGAUGAGCUCGCAAGAGGAAAGAUUUAUCGCCAAAGGAUCGGCCCGCGUUGGAUUAGGUAGUUGGUGGGGUAAUGGCCUACCAAGCCGACGAUCCAUAGCUGGUUUGAGAGGAGGAUCAGCCACACUGGGACUGAGACACGGCCCAGACUCCUACGGGAGGCAGCAGUGGGGAAUCUAGACAAUGGGGGCAAUCCUGAUCUAGCCAUGCCGCGUGAUCGAUGAAGACCUUAGGGUUGUAAAGAUCUUUCAGUUGGGAAGAUAAUGACGGUACCAACAGAAGAAGCCCCGGCUAACUCCGUGCC
This 434-nucleotide ribosomal RNA is filed under the name uncultured Alphaproteobacteria bacterium. RNAcentral describes it as "bacterial SSU rRNA". It matches the Rfam family "Bacterial small subunit ribosomal RNA", at positions 29 to 509 of the family's 1533-position model. Lineage: Bacteria; Pseudomonadati; Pseudomonadota; Alphaproteobacteria. The record is from RNAcentral.